RNAcentral lists this ribosomal RNA (253 nucleotides) under uncultured prokaryote. RNAcentral describes it as "partial 16S ribosomal RNA". It matches the Rfam family "Bacterial small subunit ribosomal RNA", at positions 524 to 776 of the family's 1533-position model. The record is from RNAcentral.
UACGAAGGGUGCAAGCGUUAUUCGGAAUCACUGGGCGUAAAGAGCUCGUAGGCGGUUAAUUAAGUCGAAUGUGAAAUCCCUGGGCUCAAUCCAGGAAGUGCAUUCGAUACUGAUUGACUGGAGUGCAGGAGAGGAAAGCGGAAUUCCAGGUGUAGAGGUGAAAUUCGUAGAUAUCUGGAGGAACAACAGAAGCGAAGGCGGCUUUCUGGACUGUCACUGACGCUGAGGAGCGAAAGCGUGGGGAGCAAACAGG